CCCUUAGAUGUUCUGGGCCGCGCGCGCGCUACACUGACGAUGGCAACGAGUUUUUCCUUCGCCGAAAGGUGUGGGUAAUCUUUUGAAACAUCGUCGUGCUGGGGAUAGAUCAUUGCAAUUUUUGAUCUUGAACGAGGAAUUCCUAGUAAGCGCGAGUCAUCAGCUCGCGUUGAUUACGUCCCUGCCCUUUGUACACACCGCCCGUCGCUACUACCGAUUGAAUAGUUUAGUGAGGACUCCUGAUUGGCGCCGCCGCCCCGGCAACGGAGCAGCGGACUGCCGAAAAGUUGUUCAAACUUGAUCAUUUAGAGGAAGUAAAAGUCGUAACA
RNAcentral lists this ribosomal RNA (329 nucleotides) under uncultured eukaryote. Its description in RNAcentral is "partial 18S ribosomal RNA". It matches the Rfam family "Eukaryotic small subunit ribosomal RNA", at positions 1470 to 1796 of the family's 1831-position model. The record is from RNAcentral.